Molecule: ribosomal RNA, 253 nt
Filed under: uncultured bacterium
Lineage: Bacteria
Description: partial 16S ribosomal RNA
Rfam family: Bacterial small subunit ribosomal RNA
Source: RNAcentral
UACGUAGGUGGCAAGCGUUGUCCGGAUUUACUGGGCGUAAAGAGUGCGCAGGCGGUCGAGUAAGUCGAAUGUGAAAGCCCCCGGCUUAACUGGGGAGGGUCAUUCGAUACUGUUCGACUUGAAGGCAGGAGAGGGCAGCAGAAUUCCCGGUGUAGUGGUGAAAUGCGUAGAUAUCGGGAGGAAUACCAGUGGCGAAGGCGGCUGCCUGGCCUGUUCUUGACGCUGAGGCGCGAAAGCUGGGGGAGCAAGCGGG